This 253-nucleotide ribosomal RNA is filed under the name uncultured bacterium. RNAcentral describes it as "partial 16S ribosomal RNA". It matches the Rfam family "Bacterial small subunit ribosomal RNA", at positions 524 to 776 of the family's 1533-position model. The record is from RNAcentral.
UACAGAGGGGGCAAGCGUUGUUCGGAAUUACUGGGCGUAAAGGGCUCGUAGGUGGCCAACUAAGUCAGACGUGAAAUCCCCAGGCUUAACCUGGGAACUGCGUCUGAUACUGGAUGGCUUGAAUUCGGGAGAGGGAUGCAGAAUUCCAGGUGUAGCGGUGAAAUGCGUAGAUAUCUGGAGGAAUACCGGUGGCGAAGGCGGCAUCCUGGACCGAGAUUGACACUGAUGAGCGAAAGCUAGGGGAGCAAACGGG